GCAGUAGAACGCUGAAGACUUUAGCUUGCUAAAGUUGGAAGAGUUGCGAACGGGUGAGUAACGCGUAGGUAACCUGCCUACUAGCGGGGGAUAACUAUUGGAAACGAUAGCUAAUACCGCAUAACAGCAUUUAACACAUGUUAGAUGCUUGAAAGGAGCAAUUGCUUCACUAGUAGAUGGACCUGCGUUGUAUUAGCUAGUUGGUGAGGUAACGGCUCACCAAGGCGACGAUACAUAGCCGACCUGAGAGGGUGAUCGGCCACACUGGGACUGAGACACGGCCCAGACUCCUACGGGAGGCAGCAGUAGGGAAUCUUCGGCAAUGGGGGCAACCCUGACCGAGCAACGCCGCGUGAGUGAAGAAGGUUUUCGGAUCGUAAAGCUCUGUUGUAAGAGAAGA
Molecule: ribosomal RNA, 400 nt
Filed under: Streptococcus lutetiensis
Lineage: Bacteria; Bacillati; Bacillota; Bacilli; Lactobacillales; Streptococcaceae
Description: bacterial SSU rRNA
Rfam family: Bacterial small subunit ribosomal RNA
Source: RNAcentral